RNAcentral lists this ribosomal RNA (545 nucleotides) under uncultured Glomeromycotina. RNAcentral's name for it is "SSU rRNA". It matches the Rfam family "Eukaryotic small subunit ribosomal RNA", at positions 548 to 1098 of the family's 1831-position model. Lineage: Eukaryota; Fungi; Glomeromycota. The record is from RNAcentral.
UUGGAGGGCAAGUCUGGUGCCAGCAGCCGCGGUAAUUCCAGCUCCAAUAGCGUAUAUUAAUGUUGUUGCAGUUAAAAAGCUCGUAGUUGAAUUUCGGGAUUAGUACGUUGGUCGUGCCUUCGGUACGUACUGGUGUUACUGAUUCCUACCUUCUGACGAACCAUCAUGUCAUUAAUUUGGUGUGGCGGGGAAUCAGGACUGUUACUUUGAAAAAAUUAGAGUGUUUAAAGCAGGCUCGCGCUUGAAUACAUUAGCAUGGAAUAAUGAAAUAGGACGUUGAUCCUAUUUUGUUGGUUUCUAGGGUUGACGUAAUGAUUAAUAGGGAUAGUUGGGGGCAUUAGUAUUCAAUUGUCAGAGGUGAAAUUCUUGGAUUUAUUGAAGACUAACUACUGCGAAAGCAUUUGCCAAGGAUGUUUUCAUUAAUCAAGAACGAAAGUUAGGGGAUCGAAGACGAUCAGAUACCGUCGUAGUCUUAACCAUAAACUAUGCCGACUAGGGAUCGGAUGAUGUUAUUUUUAAUACUCAUUCGGCGCCUUACGGGAAAC